UCAAAAGAAGGAGAGGUAAAAAAUUCCGCCAAGAUACGAUGUCGUAAGAUGCAUCGGCUCGAAAGCGUAGCUGUACAUAACGAUAAAAUUAAGCAGACCCUGGGGUUUUAGCAGGGGUUUUCUUUCUCAAUCUUAAAAAUGUCGACGGCGGAUUCCUUGUCGGCUUCUGGACGGAGCUCGGAGAAGCUGAGCCUUCCAUCUCUCCAAUCCAAAAUGAAAAUCGACCCAGAAGGUCACGAAAAGGAUCUGGUCUGGUUUACAGCCAAUUCAAGUCGGCUGUGGAGCUUUUUCAACACCAAGCAGCUCUCAAUUUCUCCACAGAAUGACCCCGCCAUUGCCAAGCAUCUCAGUGACCGCGCCACGUUUUUGGCUCAUGUUACACCCUUUUACCCGAAGCAACUCGAUGAGUUCCCCGCUCAACUCGCUGAGUUUCUCAAAUCGUCUGCUCGGACUCUGCCUUCAGGUCUUCGGUAUCAUGAUUCUAAAACGCUUAUUCUACUGAUUAACCGAAGAGCAUACCCAACACCAUUGUUACAAGUACUUUCAAAUGUUUGAGUAAAGAUAACACAUGCGAAAGCCAAUGGUUUAAAUUAGUUAAUAGCACAAGAAGUUCAACCAUGGCAAAACCCUCGUCACUGAUCAGUUCAAUCCUCAAUUUCCCAGCGAAGGAUUUCUUAUGGAAGUUCUUAGGCUCAGUAUAAACUUGUAUAGCAGGAGCUGCCUACGGAGCAAUUUUACAAGGUGCUACUUUGGACAUUCUAGAAGUUCAUUGUCAGGCAUCUCAAGUAAUAUAACAAUAGUCAGGUUGAAUUUAUGUCCGACACAUUACUUAUCUCUAAACAGGCUGUUCUAUCAUACAAGUCCAGUCAAAACAUUCUCUCUUUACUUUUUUGAAUUGCCCAUUAAUUUGUGAUUAUUAUUUUCUAAUUUCGUGAAUUUGAUUGACAUAAUGUGUUUGUAGAUGGUUGAUAUUAGUGAAAACACUAGCGUUAUAUAUGGAGCUUCAAACACUGGGAAAUAGGACAUUGAGGAAAUUGGCUUUUACUCAUGUUGUUCAUAGCAUUAGGAGGAUGAAUAAGCAGCAUAAAAAUGAGGCUAACAAUCGGGUCCUUCAAAAUAUCCUCUUUUCCAUGCUGCAGGUUUGUAAUUUUUUGCAGCCUGGACUAUGAUUUAUCUUUGUGCUUUCGAAGGUUUGGACUGGUUGUUUUUUUAAAAAAAAAAAUGUUCACGUAGCAAGAUGAUGAAGCAUGAGCGAACAGAGCGCUUAUUACACUAUGUGAACUUCACUGAAGAAAGGUGCGGUUUGAUAAUAGAACAUCAUAUUCAAUUUGUAUGGCAUGUUUGAUUCAUCAUCAAGAAUCAUGAUCGCUGCUGUCAUUUCUCCUUGAUUAUGAGAAGAUUGAAGAUGAUGAUAGGGAUGCUUCAAGUGGCGAAGAUGAUCCAAAUCCUCAAACUGCUCAAGUUGUCAUUAAUGAAGAGCAUGCCAUAAAGGUACAGUAGCUAGUAAGAAGAAAAAGAAAGCAACACUGCACCGUGUCAUAUGUAGCACGAAAAGGCAGCAAAGAUUGUCAUUGGAAAACAGCAAUUCGAAUUGUAAUUCACUAUUCAACCAUCUAAAAAAUGCACAGGUUUUUUCUCUUUGCCUAUAAUUUUACUCAGUGUAGUUCCACAGAAAUUCUGAACAUCUGUAUGUGGGAUAAAGAGAUUUUAGAAUUCCAUUUUGCUUUCAGGGGUUUGCUGAGAAGUUAUUUUGUCGCCUUCAGACUUCCAAUGAAUGUUUUGAGGUGAUUAUGAGAUCUUGGCUUUGGAAGAGUUUGUGGUGUGCCCAUUAGCAUAUGCACUUGCUUUUUUUCCCGACAUGUUUUACAAAUGGUUUUUGAGCUUAUGUAUCAUAUGUUGGGUAUCACAUAUAAUUAUGCACGCGUGUCUGUGUAUACCUUAUUUUGAGUUCUGAAAAAUAACUGGGAAGUAGGUUCAUGGACAAUGAGCAACAAGAAUGAAGAAAAUGUUGGAACACAAGGAGUUAAUUUGAGAUUCUGUUUUCCCAAAAUGCUGCAUUGGCUUGUAUACUUUUCAGUUAAAAUGAACAUUUUUUAUUGACGUCAAUUUCUGUGUAAACUUCAGGUCCAGGAACCUACUUCCCAGUUAUUUUAUUGGAUUUUUAUCCUUUUCUUCGUUCUUCGGAAAUAUGUUCAGGUGUGGUCCUAGAAUGAAUGGAAUUUAUGCUGUGGCAGCAGAAAGAUGGCCAUGGCCUUUCUUACUUUUCCAUUUUGAUUGAUUGAAUUUAAUGCUUUGAUCGUAGUUUUCUCCCCUGCAAACUUACUCUGUCGGUCUUCAUCUUCUUCUGCUAACUUCUGUAUGAUUCUCGGGCUCUCUUCCCUGCUCACUGUUUUGUUGUAUCAGGUGCCUCCUGAUGCAGUUGAGCCACUGUUCAAACAAAUAGUAAAUCAGUUUGUACAUGAUCGUUCGCGUCCCGAGGCAUGCUUAGCAGCUGCUUUGUUAUGAUUUUAUUGUGAAAGUGUAAACAGGUUGUUUCCGCUGACUCUGUUUGCUUGUUCCAGGCCAUUUCUGUUGGACAAGAGAAAAGGAGAAAGCAGAACCGUUCUGGCGAGCAGUUCCGGGGGAAGAAAGCAUGGAAAUGAUCAGAACCAUGUAUUAGCACGUCAUGAAGCUUCUUUUUUAUAUAGACAGGAAGGAUAUGGCAACGUAAACUUGCUAAUGAAAGCUUCUAGGUGAUGCAGCUUGUUAUCAGGGUUAAAUUUGUUGAUCAUGGUAUUAAAGCCAGGUGCCAAAAUUGGUGCGACUUAUUGUUGAUCAUCACAGUAGCUGGUUAGGGUUAAAUUUAUUUUUAAUAUUAAUAUAU
Populus trichocarpa (black cottonwood) is the source of this 2863-nucleotide RNA transcript. RefSeq lists it as uncharacterized. The record is from RefSeq and is a predicted model, not a curated record. Lineage: Eukaryota; Viridiplantae; Streptophyta; Magnoliopsida; Malpighiales; Salicaceae. The transcript is spliced from 3 exons.